This 385-nucleotide ribosomal RNA is filed under the name uncultured bacterium. RNAcentral describes it as "bacterial SSU rRNA". It matches the Rfam family "Bacterial small subunit ribosomal RNA", at positions 30 to 417 of the family's 1533-position model. The record is from RNAcentral.
AUUGAACGCUGGCGGCAUGCCUUACACAUGCAAGUCGAACGGCAGCGGACCUUCGGGUGCCGGCGAGUGGCGAACGGGUGAGUAAUAUAUCGGAACGUACCUUUCAGUGGGGGAUAACGUAGCGAAAGUUACGCUAAUACCGCAUAUUCUGUGAGCAGGAAAGCAGGGGAUCGCAAGACCUUGCGCUGAUUGAGCGGCCGAUAUCAGAUUAGCUAGUUGGUGAGGUAAAGGCUCACCAAGGCGACGAUCUGUAGCGGGUCUGAGAGGAUGAUCCGCCACACUGGAACUGAGACACGGUCCAGACUCCUACGGGAGGCAGCAGUGGGGAAUUUUGGACAAUGGGGGCAACCCUGAUCCAGCCAUGCCGCGUGAGUGAAGAAGGCCU